GGAUGCGAUCAUACCAGCACUAAAGCAUCGGAUCCCAUCAGAACUCCGAAGUUAAGCGUGCUUGGGCAAGAAUAGUACUAGGAUGGGUGACCUCCUGGGAAGUCCUCGUGUUGCAUUCC
RNAcentral lists this ribosomal RNA (119 nucleotides) under Triticum aestivum (bread wheat). The record is from RNAcentral. Lineage: Eukaryota; Viridiplantae; Streptophyta; Magnoliopsida; Poales; Poaceae.